UCGAGAAUCCUUCGCAAUGGGCGAAAGCCUGACGAUGCGACGCCGUGUGUAUGAUGAAGGCCUUCGGGUUGUAAAGUACUUUCGCCUGGGAACAAGAGAAGCGGACUAAUAUUCCGCUAAUUUGAGGGUACCAGGUAAAGAAGCACCGGCUAACUCCGUGCCAGCAGCUGCGGUAAUACGGAGGGUGCAAGCAUUAAUCGGAUUUAUUGGGCGUAAAGGGCGCGUAGGCGGGAAUGUAAGUCGGUCGUGAAAUCCCGGGGCUCAACCCCGGAACAGCGUUCGAAACUACAUUUCUAGAGGGUAGGCGGAGAAAAUGGAAUUCCACGUGUAGCGGUGAAAUGCGUAGAUAUGUGGAAGAACACCGGUGGCGAAGGCGAUUUUCUAGCUUAUACCUGACGCUGAGGCGCGAAAGCAAGGGGAUCAAACAG
This 428-nucleotide ribosomal RNA is filed under the name uncultured bacterium. Its description in RNAcentral is "bacterial SSU rRNA". It matches the Rfam family "Bacterial small subunit ribosomal RNA", at positions 355 to 775 of the family's 1533-position model. The record is from RNAcentral.